AGUGAACGCUGGCGGUAGGCCUAACACAUGCAAGUCGAACGGCAGCACAGUAAGAGCUUGCUCUUACGGGUGGCGAGUGGCGGACGGGUGAGGAAUACAUCGGAAUCUACUUUUUCGUGGGGGAUAACGUAGGGAAACUUACGCUAAUACCGCAUACGACCUACGGGUGAAAGCAGGGGAUCUUCGGACCUUGCGCGAUUGAAUGAGCCGAUGUCGGAUUAGCUAGUUGGCGGGGUAAAGGCCCACCAAGGCGACGAUCCGUAGCUGGUCUGAGAGGAUGGUCAGCAACACUGGAACUGAGACACGGUCCAGAGUCCUACGGGAGGCAGCAGUGGGGAAUAUUGGACAAUGGGCGCAAGCCUGAUCCAGCCAUACCGCGUGGGUGAAGAAGGCCUUCGGGUUGUAAAGCCUUUUUGUUGGGAAAGAAAAGCAGCAGGUUAAUACCCCGCUGUUCUGACGGUACCCAAAGAAUAAGCACCGGCUAACUUCGUG
RNAcentral lists this ribosomal RNA (492 nucleotides) under uncultured bacterium. RNAcentral's name for it is "partial 16S ribosomal RNA". It matches the Rfam family "Bacterial small subunit ribosomal RNA", at positions 29 to 507 of the family's 1533-position model. The record is from RNAcentral.